Onthophagus taurus is the source of this 410-nucleotide long non-coding RNA. RefSeq lists it as uncharacterized. The record is from RefSeq and is a predicted model, not a curated record. Lineage: Eukaryota; Metazoa; Arthropoda; Insecta; Coleoptera; Scarabaeidae.
GAUGGAAGUCGUUUUUGUUAUAGUGACAAAUAGUAAACCAGAAUCAUGGCGAAAUUUUUACUUGCAUUGUUGGCUUUGAUUGUGUGUUUUGCUGCUAUUUUAGCAGAAUCCCUCACUAUUGAAGAUCGAAAUGAUAAGUCAAAAUGUUAUGUUGUUGGGGUACUUUUUUGUAAAUUGAAAUGUUUGAUUAUGGGUUACAAAGAUGGAUAUUGCAAUGACGAUGGAAUUUGCGUCUGCGUAGAUCGAAUUCAAACCAAGUAAAUUUAUCCCUAAGAAGAAGAAGGAAUAAAAAUAGAUAUUGUAUUAUUGAAAUGUUUAGUUUUUAGCAUAAUUACAUUUUAAGUAGAUAUGUAAGUGUUAUAUACUUAUAAUAAAACAAUUUAUUAAAUACAGAAAAGUAACUUAUGAAA